GUAACAGGAAGCAGCUUGCUGCUUUGCUGACGAGUGGCGGACGGGUGAGUAAUGUCUGGGAAACUGCCUGAUGGAGGGGGAUAACUACUGGAAACGGUGGCUAAUACCGCAUAACGUCGCAAGACCAAAGAGGGGGACCUUCGGGCCUCUUGCCAUCAGAUGUGCCCAGAUGGGAUUAGCUUGUUGGUGAGGUAACGGCUCACCAAGGCGACGAUCCCUAGCUGGUCUGAGAGGAUGACCAGCCACACUGGAACUGAGACACGGUCCAGACUCCUACGGGAGGCAGCAGUGGGGAAUAUUGCACAAUGGGCGCAAGCCUGAUGCAGCCAUGCCGCGUGUAUGAAGAAGGCCUUCGGGUUGUAAAGUACUUUCAGCGGGGAGGAAGGUGUUGUGGUUAAUAACCGCAGCAAUUGACGUUACCCGCAGAAGAAGCACCGGCUAACUCCGUGCCAGCAGCCGCGGUAAUACGGAGGGUGCAAGCGUUAAUCGGAAUUACUGGGCGUAAAGCGCACGCAGGCGGUCUGUCAAGUCGGAUGUGAAAUCCCCGGGCUCAACCUGGGAACUGCAUUCGAAACUGGCAGGCUUGAGUCUUGUAGAGGGGGGUAGAAUUCCAGGUGUAGCGGUGAAAUGCGUAGAGAUCUGGAGGAAUACCGGUGGCGAAGGCGGCCCCCUGGACAAAGACUGACGCUCAGGUGCGAAAGCGUGGGGAGCAAACAGGAUUAGAUACCCUGGUAGUCCACGCCGUAAACGAUGUCUACUUGGAGGUUGUGCCCUUGAGGCGUGGCUUCCGGAGCUAACGCGUUAAGUAGACCGCCUGGGGAGUACGGCCGCAAGGUUAAAACUCAAAUGAAUUGACGGGGGCCCGCACAAGCGGUGGAGCAUGUGGUUUAAUUCGAUGCAACGCGAAGAACCUUACCUGGUCUUGACAUCCACAGAAGAAUCCAGAGAUGGAUUUGUGCCUUCGGGAACUGUGAGACAGGUGCUGCAUGGCUGUCGUCAGCUCGUGUUGUGAAAUGUUGGGUUAAGUCCCGCAACGAGCGCAACCCUUAUCCUUUGUUGCCAGCGGUUAGGCCGGGAACUCAAAGGAGACUGCCAGUGAUAAACUGGAGGAAGGUGGGGAUGACGUCAAGUCAUCAUGGCCCUUACGACCAGGGCUACACACGUGCUACAAUGGCGCAUACAAAGAGAAGCGACCUCGCGAGAGCAAGCGGACCUCAUAAAGUGCGUCGUAGUCCGGAUUGGAGUCUGCAACUCGACUCCAUGAAGUCGGAAUCGCUAGUAAUCGUGGAUCAGAAUGCCACGGUGAAUACGUUCCCGGGCCUUGUACACACCGCCCGUCACACCAUGGGAGUGGGUUGCAAAAGAAGUAGGUAGCUUAACCUUCGGGAGGGCGCUUACCACUUUGUGAUUCAUGACUGGGGUGAAGUCGUAACAAGGUAACCGUAGGGGAACCUGCGGUUGGAUCACCUCCUUACCUUAAAGAAGC
Molecule: ribosomal RNA, 1486 nt
Filed under: Salmonella enterica subsp. enterica
Lineage: Bacteria; Pseudomonadati; Pseudomonadota; Gammaproteobacteria; Enterobacterales; Enterobacteriaceae
Also listed under: 1 other name
Description: bacterial SSU rRNA
Rfam family: Bacterial small subunit ribosomal RNA
Source: RNAcentral